GCGCAGAACGCGGCGGUCAGCUGCGCCCGGCCUGAAGUUGUCCCAACCGCGGCCGCGUCGGUCGCCCUUUUGACUUGCAGCAGGGCGGGCAGAGCGACUUAGAGGAAAAGUGACUUUUUGUACCCUCCUGCAGGGAGCAGGUUCUCUGUCCUUGUUUAAUUAGACAUUUCUCAGAGAAUCCUGCCUCUGCUCUGAAGCCUUUCUGUUCGCUCCAGUGAAAAUUAGUCAUCCACCGGGCGCGGUGGCUCACGCCUGCAAUCCCAGCACUUUGGGAGGCCGAGAUUCUCCUCAACCAUGAUGAAUAAUGCCUGGGAGAGGGGAAGAAGUAAUGGAAGCCUGCACGGGUGGCCCCAAGGCAGGCAGUCCUUGGACUCCCUGGACUGCGGCUGUCCUUGACCUCACUGCUGGGGCAUGUAAAAGGAACGACUCAGAGUCUAACAGGCCACAGUCUGGGCUUGAUGUUCACCGAUUUUCCCUCAGCUCCGACUGUGGCUCCUCUCAGCUGACUCUGACCCUGCUCUCAGCCGGGCUGCAUCUGCCCAGCUCAGCACAUCAAUAAACAGCAGAGGGAAACUACCACCUUGGAAGGAGCCAGGCAGUUUCUGCUGGGCAGGCCGCAGCCCGGAGCAUGGAAGUAGCUUCUUCCAUCCUACGCUGGAAACCACCCAGCAUCCCGGGCCCUCCAGAGAGGAGCCAGACUCUCUUCCCUGGGAAGAGACUAUAGUCCUAUCUGUAUCCUCCAUGGUCAUUGCCCCUCAGUCACAGCAAUGAGGAGCAAAUUACCUGUUUUCUGUAUGUUCCUCUGACAACAACUGCCACAGAGUAAAUAUGAAAGGUUCUGGAUGAUUCCUUGUCAGCUUUUAUUAAAAUUCCACAUACUUGGCA
This 885-nucleotide long non-coding RNA is filed under the name Pan troglodytes (chimpanzee). Its description in RNAcentral is "lincRNA". Lineage: Eukaryota; Metazoa; Chordata; Mammalia; Primates; Hominidae. The record is from RNAcentral.